Molecule: long non-coding RNA, 598 nt
Organism: Oncorhynchus keta (chum salmon)
Lineage: Eukaryota; Metazoa; Chordata; Actinopteri; Salmoniformes; Salmonidae
Exons: 3
Source: RefSeq, a predicted model, not a curated record
GCAGCCAGACUGUUCCUGAGGAACAAUGGCGUUACACCCUCCCCCCUGUGCUACUGCUAUAGUGAACAACAGAAUGGGUUUAGGCCUGAUGGACUACCGAGAGAAGACACGAGGGACCCGAUUCAGAUUAAGGAAAAAUGAACGUGGUACCUUCAGGCGUUUGGAAAAUGCUCCCAAGGAUGAACCAGAUUUGUGGAGGUCUACAACUUUUUUCUGAGAUCUUGGCUAAUUUCUUUUGAUUUUCCCAUGAUGUCAAGCAAAGAGGCACUGAGUUUGAAGAUGCGCUCAUAAUUUCUCUGCUCAUGGCAGUCAGAAGGCCGUUUAAACAGAGGGAGGAGCUGAGGGAGAUGGGCGUCGCGUCGCGAAAACAACAUAAAUACCUCCUUUGCGCUUGCAUGACGAAGGACUCUUACGUCACUGAUGCUGCUGGUUCAGCCGACUUCGGUCGAGGAAAAGGAAAGAAGAACAGCGGCGAAUAGAAAAGGAACAAUCUGGUGCCGUCAAAUAAUUAUGUAUGUAUUUCAACUGCAAUUGUUCGGAUGCAAAAGAAAGAAUAAACCCCAAGCAUUGUUAAUAAAUAAAGGAAUGAUUCAACAUC